UGGGGAAUUUUACGCAAUGGGGGAAACCCUGACGUAGCGACACCGCGUGAGCGAAGAAGCCCUUUGGGGUGUAAAGCUCUGUCAGCUGGAACGAAAACAAUGACGGUACCAGCAGAGGAAGCAUCGGCUAACUACGUG
This 138-nucleotide ribosomal RNA is filed under the name uncultured bacterium. RNAcentral's name for it is "partial 16S ribosomal RNA". It matches the Rfam family "Bacterial small subunit ribosomal RNA", at positions 355 to 507 of the family's 1533-position model. The record is from RNAcentral.